RNAcentral lists this ribosomal RNA (465 nucleotides) under Vreelandella stevensii. RNAcentral describes it as "partial 16S ribosomal RNA". It matches the Rfam family "Bacterial small subunit ribosomal RNA", at positions 338 to 795 of the family's 1533-position model. The record is from RNAcentral. Lineage: Bacteria; Pseudomonadati; Pseudomonadota; Gammaproteobacteria; Oceanospirillales; Halomonadaceae.
CCUACGGGAGGCUGCAGUGGGGAAUAUUGGACAAUGGGCGAAAGCCUGAUCCAGCCAUGCCGCGUGUGUGAAGAAGGCCUUCGGGUUGUAAAGCACUUUCAGUGGGGAAGAAAGCCUUGGGGCUAAUACCCUCGAGGAAGGACAUCACCCACAGAAGAAGCACCGGCUAACUCCGUGCCAGCAGCCGCGGUAAUACGGAGGGUGCGAGCGUUAAUCGGAAUUACUGGGCGUAAAGCGCGCGUAGGCGGUCUGAUAAGCCGGUUGUGAAAGCCCCGGGCUCAACCUGGGAACGGCAUCCGGAACUGUCAGGCUAGAGUGCAGGAGAGGAAGGUAGAAUUCCCGGUGUAGCGGUGAAAUGCGUAGAGAUCGGGAAGAAUACCAGUGGCGAAGGCGGCCUUCUGGACUGACACUGACGCUGAGGUGCGAAAGCGUGGGUAGCAAACAGGAUUAGAUACCCUGGUAGUC